Panicum hallii is the source of this 1741-nucleotide long non-coding RNA. RefSeq lists it as uncharacterized. The record is from RefSeq and is a predicted model, not a curated record. NCBI's taxonomy places the organism in Eukaryota, Viridiplantae, Streptophyta, Magnoliopsida, Poales, Poaceae. The transcript is spliced from 3 exons.
UCUCCCCGCCGGCCGCCGCCACCUCUCUGCUGAGCUCUCUGCUUGUCUCCACCAGUUCUCCUCCUCCUACGCCGCUAACGCCGCCAUUAGGGGCCCGUCAAUCCUUCAUCCGCCCAUCCGGUACACAAUCACUUCUCUGCAUGCAUCCUUCCCGUCAUGCAACCUCUCAUGCGCCUCGGGGGACCUCUCGUCCUUUGGCUGCCCGCCCUGCGCCGCCGCUGCCGAGGGAAGAGCCUUCUCUUUCAUGCCCGUACUUGCGGACCGCAGCCGCGGCGUUCCUCAUCGUGGCCUCCCUUGCCUCUAGCCUCCGCCUCGAGCGUGCGGAACGCGCACGGCAUUGAGCAUCUUGUGGCGCGCCUACGCCGCAUGUCCUACGAGCGCCGCGGAGAUUGGUGAGCAGUCGCAGCCAAAAUCACAUCUUCCUAAUGGCGACCAGCGAGGAGCAUGCCUGGAUCAGCAUCUUCAAGGAAAUGCCAAGGAGAUUUAAGGACAAGCUGGUGGCGGGCGCUACGUGCUUUUCAACACUCCCUGAACCUCUGGCUGCCCUCAUCAAGCAGGAGGAGCUCACUGGGACCGUCACCAGGGCGCCAUGCUGUGCUCCUCAUUGACGAGGCCAGGGGCAUACUCACGGGCAUCUAAAGAGGACCGAUGCCCGUUCGACGUGCUUUGGCCGGCCGUCACAGUUACAGCUGCAGCCUGAAUGCGGAGGCAAAGAGCUAUCUUUUGGUGGCGAGGCUGGUGGAUGUGUACCUGGUGAGGUCUGUCUCCGCAGUGCAAGUUGCAGUUGUUUGAAAUUCAUUGGUCAUCUUGCAUUCCACACAAGCUGUCUGAUUCUGACAAUAUAUAUAUGCCUUGUCAUUCAGCUGCAACCAAAACACAGAACAUGUCUUCUAUUGUUUCUGCUUGUUUUGUUAAUUAACCUUCGAUUAUUUCACUCAACAUUUAUGUGAGAUCUGAAUUUCAUGGAGCUUCUUUGUUUCACCAUCGUCCUAUUCAGUUUCCCCCAUGGAAUAAAAUGUGUAGCACUGGUAGAAGAGUACAUAUGGGAGCGCCUCUGCCAUUUCAGAUUAGGACACGGUAUCACCAGGCUAACACCUUUUCAUCUUCCAUAGAUAUCAUCGGUGCAGAAUUUGUGAGUUCCUGGCUUCCUGCACUGUCAUGCUAAUCUAAGUUGCCACUUAUUUUGAUCCGAAUGCAGUGUGCUUUUUUAAGUUUUCUGAUGCAUAUUCUCUUCUUCGUUGCCAUUUCCAUGCCUUUGUACAUACCUUGUGUAUAUCCCUUCAUAUAAAGGAGUCCCGAAGGGCAGAAAUCAAUGAUAGAAUAUAGAUAUGCUGGCUUGUGCUGCUAGGACCAUAUUGAAUGUCCAGAACUCCACAUGUUUGCAGAUAAGAAUAUGGGAGGCCAACUUUCUAGGAUGGAAGCUUUACAGUUACACAUUUGGCUCAGGCCUUCAGGGGUAGUAAAUAAUUUCUGAGCAUGUAUGUGUUACUUGGUCAAUAGCUUCCAGAAGAUGCAGAUUGUGGAAAUUGCAAUUGUGGUAUAAAACACAUCGCCUAGAUCAUUGACUGGUUUUCUUGCUGCUUACAUCAGAGUAGUGACCCACUACUCGGCUUUCCAGUUAUUGACAAAGUGAUAAUCAAUCUUCAGGGGUCAUGGUUUCGUGGUAUCCACAACUUAGCUCUGUUGGUGUACUUUGCACUUAGCUUUCUAAAUUGCGAUACUGAUCAUCCAAAAUGUAUGU